AAUCAACGCUGGCGGCGUGCCUAACACAUGCAAGUCGAACGCGAGAGGGCUUCGGCCCCGAUUGAGUGGCGAACGGGUGAGUAACGCGUGGGUGACCUACCUUCGAGUGGGGGAGUAACGUCCCGAAGGGACGCUAAUACCGCGUAACAUCCUGCUUUUGAAUGGGUGGAGAUCAAAGCCGGGGAUCGCAAGACCUGGCGCUUGAUGAGGGGCCCGCGUCUGAUUAGCUAGUUGGUGAGGUAACGGCCCACCAAGGCAACGAUCAGUAUCCGGCCUGAGAGGGCGGACGGACACACUGGGACUGAGACACGGCCCAGACUCCUACGGGAGGCAGCAGUGGGGAAUUGUUCGCAAUGGGCGCAAGCCUGACGACGCAACGCCGCGUGGAGGAUGAAGGUCUUCGGAUUGUAAACUCCUGUUGCCCGGGACGAAUGGCUCCGACCUAACACGUCGGAGUGUGACGGUACCGGGUGAGGAACG
Molecule: ribosomal RNA, 480 nt
Filed under: uncultured bacterium
Lineage: Bacteria
Description: bacterial SSU rRNA
Rfam family: Bacterial small subunit ribosomal RNA
Source: RNAcentral